Long non-coding RNA from Acanthochromis polyacanthus (spiny chromis), 1356 nucleotides. RefSeq lists it as uncharacterized. The transcript has 3 exons. The record is from RefSeq and is a predicted model, not a curated record. Lineage: Eukaryota; Metazoa; Chordata; Actinopteri; Pomacentridae.
AGCAGAUCCAGCGGGGAUCACGCUGCUGCCCAGUGCCCUGUCAACCAGUGCCAGCUUCACCAUCAGUCUCUUCCAAAUGAUUAAUUACUCAGUAGUGUACCUACACUGCGAUCUCAGUGUCUGCCUGAGGAACCACUCCGACUGCGAAAGGCAAUGCCUCCAGCAGAGGAGUACAUUUCCCUCAGACGGUCCCAGGAAUAUUGUCACCAAUCUCAGAAAUCGCAUAUCCUUCGGUCCCAUGCUGAAACAAGUGAAGAAUUCUACCUUCCCGGAGGAGAUAGACCCAUCAGAGCUGGACCUGGCUCUGGUCAUUGUCAGCAUGGUGGCUGGCUCCUCUCUUGUCACGGUGAUGCUGCUGCUGGUGUGGCUGGCCUACCGUCGCCGGGCAAUCUGGCUGCUCCACUCGGCAGCUCCAACACGGGCCUGCUGCGGCUGUCUACGCCCAGGAGGUGACUUGAUCCUGCCGUGACCAAGGAGGAACCUCUGCCAAUUACACUGAUCAAGACCCCUCCAAAACAGCCGCAGACAAUUACAUUAGUCAACCGACAGUGGAGCAGUCAAUCAUAUUAGCCGUAGAGCGGAGGCGGUCAGUCGCAUCAGGCCAGACUGGACAAUGAGGAGCAAUCCAAUUCACACCUCCUCUUAUAGGUGGCACAGCUGUUGCAGUCAAAAUUCACACUUAACCAUCAGCAGUCUAUUAUCAUCCACUGAAAAUAAAUAGCAUCUCCAAAUAGAAAAGCUGCUCUGAUCCCUUUAUUUUCCCUUAGUGGCAAGAAAUCAAUACGCUCUGAUUGAUAGCUUGUUAAUGAAGGUUUAAAAUAAUAUAUACAUUCAUGGCUUGACAUCUACUAUAUUGAGCCUCUGUAAGACUCUGUAAGACGACUGUAAGCCUCUGUGUGGACUAUUGAGGAAAUUGUCAUGUCAUUUAUUAUGUCAACAGAACACGUAACAGCCCUGCACUGUUUUAUGUACAGAUAUACUGUAAUUAUGAUGUGGCACACAAUCUAAAAUUGUUAAUAUACCCUUUAAUAAUGGAACACAUACUUACAUUGCAGUUCCUCCACAUAGAUCUGCCUCUCAAAUGGAAUUCUUGAUCAUUAUUGACUGACUUUAAUUUAUGCUCUGAAUUUCUGACCUGAAUCCAUAAUAAUCAUGGUGAAAUAAUACAUGAUAGGAAAAAGCUGUCUUAUUUGUGGAAUUGUGUCUCACAUUACAUCCCAUCAUCCAUUUUUAAGUGUAUCAGAGAAAUAACAUUAUUUACUUACAUCACUAGGAUUAUUUUUUCUUCCCUCAUCAUGCAUGUAGGUGCACAGCUAUGAAGAAAGCUGACAAACUCCUAAUAAAGGUUGAAGACAG